RNAcentral lists this ribosomal RNA (774 nucleotides) under uncultured Neocallimastigales. RNAcentral's name for it is "partial large subunit ribosomal RNA". It matches the Rfam family "Eukaryotic large subunit ribosomal RNA", at positions 24 to 649 of the family's 3401-position model. Lineage: Eukaryota; Fungi; Neocallimastigomycota; Neocallimastigomycetes; Neocallimastigales. The record is from RNAcentral.
UAUCUCUGUAGAGUCUGCAUAUCAAUAAGCGGAGGAAAAGAAACUAACAAGGAUUCCCUUAGUAACGGCGAGUGAAGCGGGAAGAGCUCAAAUUUGAAAUCUUCAAGGUUCUACCUUGACGAAUUGUAGUUUAUAGAAGUGUUUUCUGUUAGUGGAGUGGCAAAAGUUCUUUGGAAUAGGACAUCAUAGAGGGUGAGAAUCCCGUAUUUGGUCAUUCCUCCUAGCGUUGUGAUACACUUUCAACGAGUCGGAUUGUUUGGGAAUGCAGUCCAAAAUGGGUGGUAAAUUUCAUCUAAAGCUAAAUAUUGGCGAGAGACCGAUAGCGAACAAGUACCGUGAGGGAAAGAUGAAAAGAACUUUGAAAAGAGAGUUAAACAGUACGUGAAAUUGUCAAAAGGGAAGCGUUUGACACCAGUGUUGUUUUUCCGAAAAUCAAUUACGAAUGUUUUGUUUUUAAGAGGUUAUGACUUCAUCGGCUUGCUUCUUUCUUUACGAAACUUUCUUAAUGCACUUUUCGGUUAACAAGUCAACAUCAAUUUCUUUUGUUGUAAAAGGGUAUGAGGAAGGUGGCUUUCUUUUCGGAGAAAGUGUUUAUAGCCUUGUGCCUCUGCAAUCGGAGAGAUUGAGGUCUGCAGCGUAGAUCCUUCGGGGUUAGAUACGUUUGUGCUAAGUUAUAGCUUUUCAUAGACAACUUGUUGACUAUGUUUAGUCUUGUAGCUUACUCGCUGACGCUAUUUUACCUACGCUUAGGAUGUUGAGUAGCGACAUACGCAC